Molecule: long non-coding RNA, 755 nt
Organism: Mya arenaria
Lineage: Eukaryota; Metazoa; Mollusca; Bivalvia; Myida; Myidae
Exons: 3
Source: RefSeq, a predicted model, not a curated record
ACGUCGUUGAUUAAUAGUUGGAAACUCGUAGAAGUUUUCUCAUGAAUAUACGUUUAAAAUAAGUAAACACUAAAAAUGUACACUGACAGUUGAUUACGAUACAUCUAACAAUUUGAGUCAUUACAGUUAAACAUGGAUUAUAAGUGAAUUAUACGCGUAAGAGAAGGUUUUCUGUUGAAAAAACUAAUGUCAACACUCAGCAUGGAACUGGGAUAUUCGUAUCAAAGGGCUAUUCAUGCAGGAAAAUGACUGAAUAUUACUAUUAUAUGAAGAAUUCCAGCCUGCAUUAAAUACUUUGUUGGAUCAUUGAGACAGAUUUGACAUCCAUGUCUAUCCACAAGGCAGUCACAUCUGAUAGAGAUGAUCACUAAACAUUCUAGAUGGGUAAAGAACCUGAAGGGGCAUGAAAACCAAAUCAGCAUUGACUCAGCAUUGAGUAAUUAUCAUUUGUGCACACACUACAAGUACAAACGCAUGGGAACAAACCAAACUUCAAAUGUUGAAGAGUGAAGAAUUAUUGUGAAAAAUUCUAAAUGUUAGAAUACCAUUGACUAAAUAAAACAAAUAGACAUCGAUUACCAACAGAGACUGUUUACAUGUUAUAAUAUUAAAAAGACAUUAGUUGAGAACUUUCACUCUGACAUUUUUGGAGGGGCAUUACCGCCUACUUAGUGUUCUUGUUUCUUUACAUAUUUUAAUUUACAUUUAAAAGUACAUUCAUUGUUUUUAAAUCUGAAUUCUGAGUUAGUAUCAUA